UGACUUUGCAGGAAACCCUGAAUGUUAUCAAGAAAAUAGAAACUCUGAACUAGUCUUUUCUGCAGAAACAAGAAAGCUCCAUAGACUGACAUAUGUUCCUCAGGAUUACAGAACUGAGAGCUGGCCACUGGAUAUGAGCUGGAGUUGAAGCAGCCAUCUGAGACCAUGAGGUUAAAGCAAUGCUUCAAAACGGCAGCAUAGUAAUAAGAAAAGAGCCCAGGUCCUGGACACCGUGGAUACCAAAUCAGCCCUUGACUGCUUAUCUCAGGAAAUUUUCUUCAAUAUCAAGCUGAUACUAGCUGGCUACAAAGGUAUAAUCAGUUAUCCAGAACUACAAUGAUGUAGGCCCAAUCAUCCGCAAAUAUGGGAGAGUUCAAGAGAUGUGUUCUUCCAGUUCAAGGGGCAAACAGAACCCAAAUGAAGUUAAGUGAAUGCUCAGCCUGGAUCACCACAUGUUUAUGACCCAACCUGACCUCAGGAUAUGGAAGGACCCUUGGAGAGUGAACCCAAACUCAAUUAAAAUUAUUUUUUCUAGAAAAUAAAGACUCAAUUUUUCAAGUAUAUUACU
Neofelis nebulosa (Clouded leopard) is the source of this 568-nucleotide long non-coding RNA. RefSeq lists it as uncharacterized. The record is from RefSeq and is a predicted model, not a curated record. NCBI's taxonomy places the organism in Eukaryota, Metazoa, Chordata, Mammalia, Carnivora, Felidae. The transcript has 3 exons.